GUGGGAUGUUGAUAUCAGGUAGUGUAGGAGUCAGUGAGAUGUUGAUAUCAGGUAGUGUAAGAGUCAGUGGGAUGUUGAUAUCAGGUAGUGCAGGAGUCAGUGAGAUGUUGAUGUCAGGUAGUGUAGGAGUCAGUGAGAUGUUGAUAUCAGGUACUGUAGGAGUCAGUGGGAUAUUGAUGUUGAUAUCCGGUAGUGUAGGAGUCAGUGGGAUGUUGAUGUUGAUAUCAGGUAGUGUUGGAGUCAGUGGGAUGUUGAUAUCAGGUAGUGUUGGAGUCAGUGAGAUGUUGAUAUCAGGUAGUGUAGAAGUCAGUGAGAUGUUGAUUUCAGGUAGUGUAGGAGUCUGUGGGAUGUUGAUGUUGAUAUCAGGUAGUGCAGGAGUCAGUGGGAUAUCAUGUUGAUAUCAGGUAGUGUAGGAGUCAGUGGGAUGUUGAUAUCAGGUAGUGUAGGAUUCAGUGAGAUGUUGAUAUCAGGUAGUGUAGGAGUCAGUGGGAUGUUGAUAUCAGGUAGUGUAGGAGUCAGUGGGAUGUUGAUAUCAGGUAGUGUAGGAGUCAGUGAGAUGUUGAUAUCAGGUAGUGUAAGAGUCAGUGGGAUGUUGAUAUCAGGUAGUG
RNAcentral lists this long non-coding RNA (608 nucleotides) under Salmo salar (Atlantic salmon). Its description in RNAcentral is "lncRNA (ENSSSAG00000098630.1, ENSSSAG00000114640.1)". Lineage: Eukaryota; Metazoa; Chordata; Actinopteri; Salmoniformes; Salmonidae. The record is from RNAcentral.